CAUAGAUGAAGGUGAAGAGGAUGAAGCGGACACACGGUGGAAUCACUCACUAAUUGCUUUAUCUAAUGUUGGAAACUAGUUUUGGGUCAUGGUAACAUUUGAUCCACCUUCCUAUCGUGAAGGAGAACUCCACAUUCUUCUUCUGUAUCAUAGUUUGCAUGCUGUUUUACACGUGGACAAGUUAGCAAGGCGUUACUUCAGUAUGGGAGGUACUGAGCAGUUAGGACAGUGUGAGACAGACAAGGAGUGAAGGUGUGUAAUGCCGGGAUCAGACUACAGGAUAUCUUUGUCUUUGACGAUGGUCACCAUGUCAGAUCUAACCAUCACAGCGCCAUAAACUCUUGCAGUGUCUCGGUCGGGUGACUGGCAAGACUACACGUAUGACCACGACCAAUCACGUCACGUCGUAUUCCACCAUCAUACGCGAGUUCAGACGAGCGUCGUGUAGAGAAAGAGUGU
Molecule: long non-coding RNA, 459 nt
Organism: Sebastes umbrosus (honeycomb rockfish)
Lineage: Eukaryota; Metazoa; Chordata; Actinopteri; Perciformes; Sebastidae
Exons: 4
Source: RefSeq, a predicted model, not a curated record